GAUGAAGAACGUAGCGAAAUGCGAUACUUGGUGUGAAUUGCAGAAUCCCGUGAACCAUCGAGUCUUUGAACGCAAGUUGCGCCCGAAGCCAUUAGGCCGAGGGCACGCCUGCCUGGGUGUCACACACCGUUACCCUCGCGCCAACGUCCAUCGUUGGCCGCGGCGCGGGGCGUGCGCUGACCUCCCGCGAGCGGGGUCUCGUGGUUGGUUGAAAAUCGAGUUCGCGGUCGAGGGUGCCGUGAUGAAAUGGUGGAUGGGCGACGCCCGAGGCCAAUCACGCGCGACUCUGUCCGGCUGGGACUCCUGGACCCCUUCGGCGUCUCCGGACGCUCUUUGGCGAGACCUCAGGUCAGGCGGGGCUACCCGCUGAGUUUAAGCAUAUCAAUAAGCGGAGGA
RNAcentral lists this unclassified non-coding RNA (396 nucleotides) under soil metagenome. RNAcentral describes it as "partial contains 5.8S ribosomal RNA, internal transcribed spacer 2, and large subunit ribosomal RNA". The stretch from base 1 to 122 matches the Rfam family "5.8S ribosomal RNA", at positions 35 to 154 of the family's 154-position model. The record is from RNAcentral.